Molecule: ribosomal RNA, 434 nt
Filed under: uncultured eukaryote
Lineage: Eukaryota
Description: bacterial SSU rRNA
Rfam family: Eukaryotic small subunit ribosomal RNA
Source: RNAcentral
CAAUAGCGUAUAUUAAAGUUGUUGUGGUUAAAAAGCUACGUAGUUGGAUCUCGGCGGUCUGAGGGCGGUGGUCUUCAGAGAUCUACUGCCCUAUAGACCGUAGUUUUGCCAGAGGUCUCAGGGUGCUCUUAACCGAGUGUCUUGCGAUGCUGGCAGGUUUAACUUUGAAAAAAUUAGAGUGCUCAAAGCAGGCUUUUACGCCUGAAUAUUCGUGCAUGGAAUAAUAGAAUAGGAAGUCGUUUCUAUUUUGUUGGUUUUCGGAAAUCGACUUAAUGAUUAAUAGGGACAGUCGGGGGUCAUUUGUAUUCAAACGACAGAAGGUGAAAUUCUUGGACCGUUUAGAAGACAAACUACUGCGAAAGCAUUUGCCAAGAAAUGUUUUCAUUAAUCAAAGAAACGAAAAGUUAAGAGGUUCGAAGAAUGAUCAGAUACCA